Molecule: ribosomal RNA, 228 nt
Filed under: uncultured eukaryote
Lineage: Eukaryota
Description: partial small subunit ribosomal RNA
Rfam family: Eukaryotic small subunit ribosomal RNA
Source: RNAcentral
GGAAAACUUACCAGGUCCAGACAUAGUGAGGAUUGACAGAUUGAGAGCUCUUUCUUGAUUCUAUGGGAGGUGGUGCAUGGCCGUUCUUAGUUGGUGGAGUGAUUUGUCUGGUUAAUUCCGUUAACGAACGAGACCCCCGCCUGCUAAAUAGGUCCGUGAAUGAAUUUCAUUGACGAGAUCUUCUUAGAGGGACUUUUGGUGACUAACCAAAGGAAGUUGGGGCAAUAA